Molecule: non-coding RNA, 360 nt
Organism: Cricetulus griseus (Chinese hamster)
Lineage: Eukaryota; Metazoa; Chordata; Mammalia; Rodentia; Cricetidae
Source: the annotation of a RefSeq genome assembly
AUGAAAUCCUUAGGUGUUUCCCUCAUGGUCCUGUGGCUCCAGUUAAAUGGGGUGAGCAGCCAGCAGAAGGUGCAGCAGACCCCGGAAUCCCUCAGUGUCCCAGAAGGAGCCAUGGCCUCUCUCAACUGCACUUUCAGUGAUAGGGCUUCUCAGUACAUCUGGUGGUACAGACAGCAUCCUGGGAAAAGCCCCAAGGCGCUGAUGUAUGUCAUCUCCAAUGGUGAAAAGGAAGAAGGCAGAUUCACAGCUCACCUCAAUAAAGCCAGCCUGCAUGUUUCCCUGCACAUCAGAGACUCCCAGCCCAGUGACUCGGCUGUCUACCUGUGUGCAGUGAGCACACAGUGCUCCUCAGGCACCUGA